Long non-coding RNA from Neopsephotus bourkii (Bourke's parrot), 2355 nucleotides. RefSeq lists it as uncharacterized. NCBI's taxonomy places the organism in Eukaryota, Metazoa, Chordata, Aves, Psittaciformes, Psittacidae. The transcript has 2 exons. The record is from RefSeq and is a predicted model, not a curated record.
GGAGGCGGACGCUACCUGUGUGGCACGAUGGGGACUGUGUCUCUCACGGCUCCUCACCUCCCUUGCGCUGGAAGCGUCAAGACCGCAGGAUCCUCCGGCAGAGAAACCGGAGAUAGCACGCGGCCGCCCAAAGAGGGCAGUAGAGCUCUCACCCCGGAAUAAUCGCGAUCAACUUAGUUCCAACACUAAACUCGGGAGCCUGGGAGUCGCCCUUUGUAAACACAGGUUGUACGCGGGCAGAGAGCCAUUAAGAGCUCCUCUGUCUCCCACCAAACAUACCCGGGGGGGGGCAGAGAGCGACCGCAGCUGCGGGCUCAGGACCCCGUCGGCGUCCCCACGGUUCGGUGCCGCCGGAUCCGCCCGUGCCCGGCUGCCGGGAGGCUGAGGCAGUGUCCGUGGUGCUGGCCCCUCUCCGUCCGUCCGCACCGCCCAGCCGGGCCGUCAGCGCUGCACCAGCGCCCGGGAGCUCGCGCGAUGGUGACCGAAGCCCCGGACAUGCGAGCGUCUCCGCCCCACUCUGCUGGUGGAGGUGAUGAGCGGUGGCCCAGGUGUUAACGUGCGGGGAAAAUAAGGGCUGCGCAAAGCCUGGCCAUAGCCUACCAGCGGGCGGAGAGCGGCGCCCGCCUCGCAGUCGGUGCCGGUGCUCGUGCCUGGGCUCCGAUGGGCUCUGCGGACGCUCCUCCUCCGCUGGGGCUCGGUAGCGCAACGCUUUCUUGUUCACCGGCUUAAUUUGCUCAGUCUCCUGGGAAGCUCUCUCAGAUGCAAAGUACGCUGAAACCAAGAUAUGCAGAUAAAAUCAAUUUGACUAAACCUUAAUGAUGUUAAGGUGCUUGUUAGUACGGCAGGAGUUAACCCAACGAUGUUUCGAAAAUAUGUCUUCAGCAAACAGGAUUUUUGAAAAAAUACAGUUAAAGAACCUUAUGAGGUCGGUGCUUUGCAGUCAUAUUCCUGCCACAUUCCUGGUCAAACACCUCUGCAGAGGACAUCAGCUAUUCACUAGCUUCUGUCACUCCUCAGUUCUUCACUCCUCUCUUCACAAGAACUUUCUAGUAUCCUGGAAAACAAACAAACAAACAUGCAAAACAAGCACGCAGAUACAACCAUGGUUGAUACUGUACACCACGUCUUCCUUCUCCAGCCAUUUUCUUUUGAUUUUAGGGCAGAAACUGGAAAUGAAUGCACUCCAAACCCAUCCAUCAAUCCAAGCACAGUUUCUGCCAGCCAAAACUCUCCAAUCGCUUUCAGUACUCUUUUCACCCCUAGCCUCUCCCUGCUCGCUGGUUUCACCUUCUGUCAACACAAGCAUGCAGUGAUCACUCCGUAUGCAGAACAAAUUGCUGUUCUGCUUUUAUUCUUCUCUUCAACUACAUUAUCUUUAUGUUGAAAGCUUACCGUUAUUGUUCAAGGCUCUUCUUCUAAUUUUUAAUUUAAUGGCUUCCAGUUUGCCUUUUACUUCCUCACUGAGCAAAGUCUCUUUCUUGACCUUCUGUGCUACGUAGAUACUGUCAGAAAUACCCAUACUUAUACUGUUUCAUCUGCCAGCUUCACCUCUAGUAGGGGCUACAUGAAGAAGAAAUCAGGCUUUAGCCUCCCAUGAUGGACUUCAUCUCCGAGUUCCCUUCUGAGGCCCUGGGAACUUGCAUGGCAUCAGGGAGGUACUGUGGUUAUUCUUCAGCUCUCUGAUUUGGUGAGUAAGGAAGAUGCAUGCUGCUGGGCAGAAAGCACAUCUUCUGAACAUUUGCCGCUACCUGCUAUUGGAAAUCCACUUCUAUGGAUCAGCCACCUAUUUAACAACAAAUACAAGAUUUCGGUUGUUCAGCACACAGAGAAUCACAGAGGGCAUGGAGAGCUUCCUUAUGUGUCACUGGGGCCUUUUGCACACAGGCACCUAACAUAUUUGAUAUGACAGUAUCUGCAGCUUUUGCAAAUCCAUCCUCACCUGACUCUUUGCCUAAUCCAGUCUCAGUAUUUUCUUUUCUAUUUGAUAAUUUGGAUACAGUAGAGAUCCUGUGUCAUAUUCAGUGUAAAACAAGUAAAGCCCAUCCAAUCAUGAUUUAGCAACCGUGGAGCCUUCUUUACAGUGUAAGAUUUUUUUGUUGGGCUUUUCUUAUUAUUACUGUUCUUUUUAAAGUAGUAUUUUUUCAGGUUUAACAACGUGUUUGAUCUUGCAAAAGAUGACUGUGACUGAUGUCAUGUGGUCAAUUAAAAGGAUUUAUUCCUCUGUAGAUCACCUUCAUGUGUGUUGUAGAGCUCUAACUAGCCUCUUCUCAUUUUAUCUCUAGGCUACUACCCAGGCAGAUUAUUAGGUCUGAACUAAAGAUCACAUCUUCCAUAAUAAAUUCUCUUGAACCACUA